UGACCUACGGGGGGCAGCAGUGAGGAAUAUUGGUCAAUGGCCGGGAGGCUGAACCAGCCAAGUCGCGUGAGGGAAGACGGCCCUACGGGUUGUAAACUUCUUUUGUCAGGGAGCAAGGUGCAGGUCGGGACCUGCUGUGAGAGUACCUGAAGAAAAAGCAUCGGCUAACUCCGUGCCAGCAGCCGCGGUAAUACGGAGGAUGCGAGCGUUAUCCGGAUUUAUUGGGUUUAAAGGGUGCGUAGGCGGUUUGAUAAGUUAGAGGUGAAAUGUAGGGGCUCAACCCCGAAACUGCCUCUAAUACUGUU
Molecule: ribosomal RNA, 305 nt
Filed under: uncultured bacterium
Lineage: Bacteria
Description: bacterial SSU rRNA
Rfam family: Bacterial small subunit ribosomal RNA
Source: RNAcentral